Molecule: non-coding RNA, 154 nt
Organism: Amborella trichopoda
Lineage: Eukaryota; Viridiplantae; Streptophyta; Magnoliopsida; Amborellales; Amborellaceae
Source: Rfam
CCCACACCCAUGUGUGUAGGACCCCAAAGGAUCGUCAUUAAAUUUGGCACAAAUCUAUAGAAACGUUAUCACAUGGGUGUGGGACUUGACUUUUCUAGAGAUCUGUGCCAAAUUUAAUGGUGAUCCUUUGGGGUCCUACACACAUGGGUGUGGG